This 331-nucleotide unclassified non-coding RNA is filed under the name soil metagenome. RNAcentral's name for it is "partial contains 5.8S ribosomal RNA, internal transcribed spacer 2, and large subunit ribosomal RNA". The stretch from base 1 to 120 matches the Rfam family "5.8S ribosomal RNA", at positions 35 to 154 of the family's 154-position model. The record is from RNAcentral.
GAUGAAGAACGCAGUGAAAUGCGAUAAGUAAUGUGAAUUGCAGAAUUCAGUGAAUCAUCGAAUCUUUGAACGCACAUUGCGCCCCCUGGUAUUCCGGGGGGCAUGCCUGUUCGAGCGUCAUUUCACCACUCAAGCCUCGCUUGGUAUUGGGCAACGCGGUCCGCCGCGUGCCUCAAAUCGACCGGCUGGGUCUUCUGUCCCCUAAGCGUUGUGGAAACUAUUCGCUAAAGGGUGUUCGGGAGGCUACGCCGUAAAACAACCCCAUUUCUAAGGUUGACCUCGGAUCAGGUAGGGAUACCCGCUGAACUUAAGCAUAUCAAUAAGCGGAGGA